CGCUUUGGCCUUUGGAACUUCGGUAUAGCCAUUUUCUACCACUUCCCAUAAAGCAUGUGAUCGGAAAAAUACUUUCAAUUGGAUAGCCCAAUUGUUGUAAUUUUUACUGUUGAGUUUUGGGAGUUGAAACUGAAUCGAGUUAUUGCCUGACAUGACUCAAUUUCCUAACACCUCAGAAGACUCAAACUAGCUCUGAUACCAAAUGUAGGAACCAAA
Molecule: long non-coding RNA, 216 nt
Filed under: Nicotiana benthamiana
Lineage: Eukaryota; Viridiplantae; Streptophyta; Magnoliopsida; Solanales; Solanaceae
Description: long non-coding RNA (NBEN_LNC009600)
Source: RNAcentral